CGUGCAAAAGCUGGCGCGGCAGAAGCUGCCGUACAGCCCGCAGUGGAGCCUGCUGCUGGCCAUGGGUGAGUGCCUGGCCCGGGUGGUGCUGCGGGCAGAGAGGUGUUUGCCCUUACUGUGGGGGGCUCGUCCCUAGCUCCGGUCACCUCUCGACGCCCAGUCCCCGGGGGUUCCGGAGGGUUCUUGGGCAGCUGCAUCAGGUGCUGUCCCCACCAAGGUGCUGCUGGCGCUGUCAGAAGCACCUCGGCCUUCCCAGCCGCAGGGUCCCUCGCGAGCUAUGUGGUAACCAGAGCUGAGACACAGAAAUGCUCCGACUUCUGGAUUUAUCUGGAGACAGGCAAGUCCCCACAGCAGCUCGCCGUGACUGGUGGGGUGUCUCAGACCACAGAAAAUCUGCUCAGCACAGAGGACAGGGACAGCGCCGCACUGCCGGUGAGGAGGAACAGGUAUGGAGAUGUGGUGGAGUAGCCGGCAAAGCACAGCACUCUGUACCUGUAUCCCACUUCAGCCCCUGCUGCCUGCCCAACCUGUCGCUGCCCAUGCUGCCUGUGCACCUGGUAGGCUUGAUGGCACUGUUGGGAAGCUCAGAGGACUUGAUCCUGCAGCGAGAGUGUGGUGGAGGCACUACAGGGAUCACUGCUGCCCACCUCAUGGCCUCUGAACAUUGCACUGAGGGUACAAUAAAAGUCAAGAACUGAAGGUGCUCAUUGUGGAUGAGGUGAAGGCCGGCAGUGGGACAGGCAGAGCAGGUGGUGAAUGUCACCCCGAGGGAACAGGUGGCACUCACACUCUAUUGGCACGUGGAUUGCUGCGAGCUGGCUCUAGGCACGGGCAGGUCUGGGCUAAGCUACAAGGGCAGAGCUGUUGUUGUGUGCUUUCUGUACCCUGAACCCAGCCAGUCCCCAUGUCCCUACCCCUGCAGCAGCAAGGCUUUUCCCACCCACCUGAACAGGGCUGGGCUGAGCCCCAUAGCUGGGUGGCCUCUGGGGUGUUCUCUGCCCCUGCAACAGGGGUGACCAUGUGCCCAGGGCCCCUCUCUGUGGUGCCCACCUGUCACCGCCCAGGGCACGUCAUCUGGCCAGUCCCAGAUUGCCCAUCCAGAUCCAUAACCAGUUGGCAAGGAUAUGGUACUGUCUCAAAUCCC
Long non-coding RNA from Manacus vitellinus (golden-collared manakin), 1144 nucleotides. The record is from Ensembl. NCBI's taxonomy places the organism in Eukaryota, Metazoa, Chordata, Aves, Passeriformes, Pipridae.